This 1055-nucleotide ribosomal RNA is filed under the name uncultured Nitrosospira sp. RNAcentral's name for it is "bacterial SSU rRNA". It matches the Rfam family "Bacterial small subunit ribosomal RNA", at positions 198 to 1235 of the family's 1533-position model. Lineage: Bacteria; Pseudomonadati; Pseudomonadota; Betaproteobacteria; Nitrosomonadales; Nitrosomonadaceae. The record is from RNAcentral.
GGAGAAAAGCAGGGGAUCGCAAGACCUUGCGUUUUUGGAGCGGCCGGUGUCUGAUUAGCUUGUUGGUGAGGUAAAAGCUUACCAAGGCUUCGAUCAGUAGCUGGUCUGAGAGGACGACCAGCCACACUGGGACUGAGACACGGCCCAGACUCCUACGGGAGGCAGCAGUGGGGAAUUUUGGACAAUGGGGGCAACCCUGAUCCAGCCAUGCCGCGUGAGUGAAGAAGGCCUUCGGGUUGUAAAGCUCUUUCAGCCGGAACGAAACGGUUACGGUUAAUACCCGUGACUACUGACGGUACCGGAAGAAGAAGCACCGGCUAACUACGUGCCAGCAGCCGCGGUAAUACGUAGGGUGCGAGCGUUAAUCGGAAUUACUGGGCGUAAAGCGUGCGCAGGUGGUUUUGUAAGUCAGAUGUGAAAUCCCCGGGCUUAACCUGGGAACUGCGUUUGAAACUACAAGGCUAGAGUGUGGCAGAGGGGGGUGGAAUUCCGCGUGUAGCAGUGAAAUGCGUAGAGAUGUGGAGGAACACCGAUGGCGAAGGCAGCCCCCUGGGUCAACACUGACGCUCARGCACGAAAGCAUGGGGAGCAAACAGGAUUAGAUACCCUGGUAGUCCAUGCCCUAAACGAUGUCAACUAGUUGUCGGGCCUUAACGGGCUUGGUAACGUAGCUAACGCGUGAAGUUGACCGCCUGGGGAGUACGAUCGCAAGAUUAAAACUCAAAGGAAUUGACGGGGACCCGCACAAGCGGUGGAUUAUGUGGAUUAAUUCGAUGCAACGCGAAAAACCUUACCUACCCUUGACAUGUAUCGAAGCUCGCAGAGAAGUGAGUGUGCCCGAAAGGGAACGAUAACACAGGUGCUGCAUGGCCGUCGUCAGCUCGUGUCGUGAGAUGUUGGGUUAAGUCCCGCAACGAGCGCAACCCUUGUCAUUAAUUGCCAUCAUUUAGUUGGGCACUUUAAUGAGACUGCCGGUGACAAACCGGAGGAAGGUGGGGAUGACGUCAAGUCCCCAUGGCCCUUAUGGGUAGGGCUUCACACGUAAUACAAUGGCG